GUGCCAGCAGCCGCGGUAAUACAGAGACCUCAAGCGUUAUCCGGAUUUAUUGGGCGUAAAGCGUCUGCAGACGGUAAAGUAAGUUCGGGGUUAAAGACCCAGGCUCAACCUGGGGAAAGCGUCGAAAACUACUUUGCUUAGAGGACAUGAGAGGCCAAUAGAACUUAUGGUGUAGGGGUGAAAUCCGUUGAUACCAUAGGGAAUACCAAGGGCGAAGGCAUUUGGCUGGUGUGUUCCUGACGUUCAGAGACGAAAGCGUGGGUCGCGAAUGGGAUUAGAUACCCCUGUAGUCC
Molecule: ribosomal RNA, 293 nt
Filed under: uncultured bacterium
Lineage: Bacteria
Description: partial 16S ribosomal RNA
Rfam family: Bacterial small subunit ribosomal RNA
Source: RNAcentral